Potamilus streckersoni is the source of this 82-nucleotide non-coding RNA. The record is from the annotation of a GenBank genome assembly. Lineage: Eukaryota; Metazoa; Mollusca; Bivalvia; Unionida; Unionidae.
UCUCUGGUAGUCUAGUAGUUAGAGCGUCCGCCUCGAAAGCGAGAGGUCGUAGGUUCGAUCCCCUGUGAGCCAUACCAAAGAC